RNAcentral lists this ribosomal RNA (253 nucleotides) under uncultured bacterium. RNAcentral describes it as "partial 16S ribosomal RNA". It matches the Rfam family "Bacterial small subunit ribosomal RNA", at positions 524 to 776 of the family's 1533-position model. The record is from RNAcentral.
UACGUAGGGGGCAAGCGUUAUCCGGAUUUACUGGGUGUAAAGGGAGCGCAGACGGCUGUGCAAGCCAGAUGUGAAAGCCCGGGGCUCAACCCCGGGACUGCAUUUGGAACUGUGUAGCUGGAGUGUCGGAGAGGCAGGCGGAAUUCCUAGUGUAGCGGUGAAAUGCGUAGAUAUUAGGAGGAACACCAGUGGCGAAGGCGGCCUGCUGGACGAUGACUGACGUUGAGGCUCGAAAGCGUGGGGAGCAAACAGG